GAUGAACGCUGGCGGCGUGCCUAAUACAUGCAAGUCGAGCGAACAGACGAGGAGCUUGCUCCUUUGACGUUAGCGGCGGACGGGUGAGUAACACGUGGGUAACCUACCUAUAAGACUGGGAUAACUUCGGGAAACCGGAGCUAAUACCGGAUAAUAUUUCGAACCGCAUGGUUCGAUAGUGAAAGAUGGCUUUGCUAUCACUUAUAGAUGGACCUGCGCCGUAUUAGCUAGUUGGUAAGGUAACGGCUUACCAAGGCAACGAUACGUAGCCGACCUGAGAGGGUGAUCGGCCACACGGGAACUGAGACACGGUCCAGAGUCCUACGGGAGGCAGCAGUAGGGAAUCUUCCGCAAUGGGCGAAAGCCUGACGGAGCAACGCCGCGUGAGUGAUGAAGGUCUUCGGAUCGUAAAACUCUGUUAUUAGGGAAGAACAAACGUGUAAGUAACUGUGCACGGCUUGACGGUACCUAAUCAGAAAGCCACGGCUAACUACGUG
This 497-nucleotide ribosomal RNA is filed under the name uncultured bacterium. RNAcentral's name for it is "partial 16S ribosomal RNA". It matches the Rfam family "Bacterial small subunit ribosomal RNA", at positions 28 to 507 of the family's 1533-position model. The record is from RNAcentral.